GAUGAACGCUGGCGGCGUGCCUAAUACAUGCAAGUCGAGCGAACGGACGAGGAGCUUGCUUCGCUGAUGUUAGCGGCGGACGGGUGAGUAACACGUGGAUAACCUACCUGUCAGACUGGGAUAACUUCGGGAAACCGGAGCUAAUCCCGGAUAAUAUUUUGAACCGCGUGGUUCAAAAGUGAAAGACGGUGUUGCUGUCUCUUAUAGAUGGAUCCGCGCUGCAUUAGCUGGUUGGUAAGGUAACGGGUUACCAAGGCGACGAUGCAUAGCCGACGUGUUUGGGGGAUAGCCCACACUGGAACGUGGACACGGUCCAUGCGCCUACGGUAGGCAGCAGUAUGGAAUCGUCCGCAAUGGGCGGAAACCUUGCGGAGCAACGCCGCGUGAGUUAUGAAGGUCUUCGGAUCGUAAAGCUCUCUUAUUAGGUAUGAACAUAUGUGUAAGUAACUGUGCACAUCUUGACGGUACCUAAUCAGAAAGCCACGGCUAACUACGUG
This 497-nucleotide ribosomal RNA is filed under the name uncultured bacterium. RNAcentral describes it as "partial 16S ribosomal RNA". It matches the Rfam family "Bacterial small subunit ribosomal RNA", at positions 28 to 507 of the family's 1533-position model. The record is from RNAcentral.